RNAcentral lists this ribosomal RNA (378 nucleotides) under Zunongwangia sp. RNAcentral's name for it is "bacterial SSU rRNA". It matches the Rfam family "Bacterial small subunit ribosomal RNA", at positions 1 to 374 of the family's 1533-position model. Lineage: Bacteria; Pseudomonadati; Bacteroidota; Flavobacteriia; Flavobacteriales; Flavobacteriaceae. The record is from RNAcentral.
CAACGAUGAAGAGUUUGAUCCUGGCUCAGGAUGAACGCUAGCGGCAGGCCUAACACAUGCAAGUCGAGGGGUAACAGGGAGUGCUUGCACUCUGCUGACGACCGGCGCACGGGUGCGUAACGCGUAUGCAAUCUACCUCUUACUGAGGGAUAGCCCAUGGAAACGUGGAUUAAUACCUCAUAGUAUUAUAGACUGGCCUCAGUUUAUGAUUAAAGGUUACGGUAAGAGAUGAGCAUGCGUCCUAUUAGCUAGAUGGUAAGGUAACGGCUUACCAUGGCUACGAUAGGUAGGGGUCCUGAGAGGGAGAUCCCCCACACUGGUACUGAGACACGGACCAGACUCCUACGGGAGGCAGCAGUGAGGAAUAUUGGACAAUGG